This is a non-coding RNA of Coffea arabica (coffee), 558 nucleotides long. The record is from RefSeq and is a predicted model, not a curated record. NCBI's taxonomy places the organism in Eukaryota, Viridiplantae, Streptophyta, Magnoliopsida, Gentianales, Rubiaceae.
AGGAGUGCAGCAAAAGCUGUCCCCUCAUUCUGGUGAAAAAGACAAUGACUUGGAAGCCAGGGGUGCUGCUUCUGAGGUACUUCAAGCAGAGCAAGUUGAGGAUAUUGAAGUGGUGGAUCAAGGAGCUGCAGAUCUUCUGAGAGAAAUUGGCAGCAACAAUAGCAGUGUUGUCACUCCUUCAGUUAUUGUGGUGAACCAACCACCUGAACCAGUGAACCAGCCACCUGAACUUGUGAACCAGCUGGCUGAACCGGUGAACCAAUCGCCUCUCUUUAAUUUCUUGUCAUGCCAGAAUGAAAUUAAUCUGGGGUACUCGGUGGGAGCAAGUGGUCAAAGAAAUCACAUUUUCAAGUGCUACAAACGGAGAAGAUUAGCUACUUGUGGAAGUUAAACUGCCUUCUACGAUAAGAGCAAAUAUAAGUUCAGUUGUCAUAGAGCCAAGAGAAAUCUUGUGAGCCUGUUUUUUGACUCUUGAUGGGCUUCAAAUUUUUGUGUAGAAUGUGCAGUCUCCUCUGUAAAUGGUAAAGUAGAAAGGAGUCGCAAGAACUUCAAGUCUCA